RNAcentral lists this ribosomal RNA (313 nucleotides) under Pseudomonas sp. Its description in RNAcentral is "bacterial SSU rRNA". It matches the Rfam family "Bacterial small subunit ribosomal RNA", at positions 20 to 335 of the family's 1533-position model. Lineage: Bacteria; Pseudomonadati; Pseudomonadota; Gammaproteobacteria; Pseudomonadales; Pseudomonadaceae. The record is from RNAcentral.
CGGCUCAGAUUGAACGCUGGCGGCAGGCCUAACACAUGCAAGUCGAGCGGUAGAGAGAAGCUUGCUUCUCUUGAGAGCGGCGGACGGGUGAGUAAUGCCUAGGAAUCUGCCUGGUAGUGGGGGAUAACGUUCGGAAACGGACGCUAAUACCGCAUACGUCCUACGGGAGAAAGCAGGGGACCUUCGGGCCUUGCGCUAUCAGAUGAGCCUAGGUCGGAUUAGCUAGUUGGUGAGGUAAUGGCUCACCAAGGCGACGAUCCGUAACUGGUCUGAGAGGAUGAUCAGUCACACUGGAACUGAGACACGGUCCAGA